GCUAUGUGCAAACGAGUAGAGGCGGGCAGAUAACGACCGCAGCGCACAACAUGGCAGAAAUUGGAAACAAAUGCGGAUGUUUCAAACCCGGUUUUUAUUAUUAUAUUCAUUUUACGGUAAAACUAUUGGAUAAAUGGCACUUAAAUAAUGUCAACAAUACUAUUUUAAUCUUUGGUUUUAUUUAUAUUUGCAAAGAAAAUUAUAAUGUUUACAUUGUUAUUAUUUGACAGCUUCCGCAAAUGUUGUAAACGCUACGCGUCGCCACCGUCGCGCACACAGCCAAUAGGGUCGCAUUGCUUUGUUUUGAUUUUAACCACGGUUUUUUACACAUUGAUACUUACUAACAUAUUAGGACAUCCCCACACACGUCAUACUUUUAUUCUUUAUUGAUAAAAAGAUUAAAGGUCAAUGAGUUUGCCGAUAUACACAAACCGAAUUCUGUCAGUCUAUUGUAAACACAUCCACACGUCCACACGUCUUCUCUGCAAUAAUUUUACAUUCAACGUACAUUUUGUUAGGUUUAACAGGUACACUGUUUGAAAAAAGGUCCUUGCAGGCUUUCUAAGUCGACUCGUCGUAGUUGUAGUAGUAGUGUUCUGCAAGCCUUAUCCUUCACUUGUUUCAUUGAAGCAAGGCUAACUAUCCUUUAAAACGGUGUUGAUUUUGUUUUUGAACAAUUAUGGAGAUUCCCAAUGACUAUGAAGAUGUGGAUACGGUAAGUAUUGAUGAUACAUUGGCUCUUGAAGAAAUGGCAAAGCAAGAAAGGGCCAAGGAGAUGGAGGAAUUGCAUUCAUUAUGCGAGAAAGCGCAAUCCUUGAGUGCCGAUGUGCUGUAUUGUCGGCUCUCAAGAAUUAGAUUCGGUGUAGCUUGCUAUGAUUUAUGGAAAACAUUAACACAAGAAGUGGGUGGCACUCCAAAUGGCUGGCGGGAUCUAGGUCACUGUCUUAAUAUACCAGAGGACAAAUUAAAUG
This is a long non-coding RNA of Helicoverpa armigera (cotton bollworm), 971 nucleotides long. RefSeq lists it as uncharacterized. The record is from RefSeq and is a predicted model, not a curated record. The transcript is spliced from 2 exons. NCBI's taxonomy places the organism in Eukaryota, Metazoa, Arthropoda, Insecta, Lepidoptera, Noctuidae.